This 1449-nucleotide ribosomal RNA is filed under the name uncultured organism. RNAcentral describes it as "16S ribosomal RNA". It matches the Rfam family "Bacterial small subunit ribosomal RNA". The record is from RNAcentral.
AUGAACGCUAGCUACAGGCUUAACACAUGCAAGUCGAGGGGCAGCAUUUUAGUUUGCUUGCAAACUGAAGAUGGCGACCGGCGCACGGGUGAGUAACACGUAUCCAACCUGCCGAUAACUCCGGAAUAGCCUUUCGAAAGAAAGAUUAAUACCGGAUAGCAUACGAAUAUCGCAUGAUAUUUUUAUUAAAGAAUUUCGGUUAUCGAUGGGGAUGCGUUCCAUUAGUUUGUUGGCGGGGUAACGGCCCACCAAGACUACGAUGGAUAGGGGUUCUGAGAGGAAGGUCCCCCACAUUGGAACUGAGACACGGUCCAAACUCCUACGGGAGGCAGCAGUGAGGAAUAUUGGUCAAUGGGCGAGAGCCUGAACCAGCCAAGUAGCGUGAAGGAUGAAGGCUCUAUGGGUCGUAAACUUCUUUUAUAUGGGAAUAAAGUUUUCCACGUGUGGAAUUUUGUAUGUACCAUAUGAAUAAGGAUCGGCUAACUCCGUGCCAGCAGCCGCGGUAAUACGGAGGAUCCGAGCGUUAUCCGGAUUUAUUGGGUUUAAAGGGAGCGUAGGUGGAUUGUUAAGUCAGUUGUGAAAGUUUGCGGCUCAACCGUAAAAUUGCAGUUGAAACUGGCAGUCUUGAGUACAGUAGAGGUGGGCGGAAUUCGUGGUGUAGCGGUGAAAUGCUUAGAUAUCACGAAGAACUCCGAUUGCGAAGGCAGCUCACUAGACUGUCACUGACACUGAUGCUCGAAAGUGUGGGUAUCAAACAGGAUUAGAUACCCUGGUAGUCCACACAGUAAACGAUGAAUACUCGCUGUUUGCGAUAUACAGUAAGCGGCCAAGCGAAAGCAUUAAGUAUUCCACCUGGGGAGUACGCCGGCAACGGUGAAACUCAAAGGAAUUGACGGGGGCCCGCACAAGCGGAGGAACAUGUGGUUUAAUUCGAUGAUACGCGAGGAACCUUACCCGGGCUUAAAUUGCAACAGAAUAUAUUGGAAACAGUAUAGCCGUAAGGCUGUUGUGAAGGUGCUGCAUGGUUGUCGUCAGCUCGUGCCGUGAGGUGUCGGCUUAAGUGCCAUAACGAGCGCAACCCUUAUCUUUAGUUACUAACAGGUCAUGCUGAGGACUCUAGAGAGACUGCCGUCGUAAGAUGUGAGGAAGGUGGGGAUGACGUCAAAUCAGCACGGCCCUUACGUCCGGGGCUACACACGUGUUACAAUGGGGGGUACAGAAGGCGGCUACCUGGUGACAGGAUGCUAAUCCCAAAAACCCCUCUCAGUUCGGAUCGAAGUCUGCAACCCGACUUCGUGAAGCUGGAUUCGCUAGUAAUCGCGCAUCAGCCAUGGCGCGGUGAAUACGUUCCCGGGCCUUGUACACACCGCCCGUCAAGCCAUGAAAGCCGGGGGUACCUGAAGUACGUAACCGCAAGGAGCGUCCUAGGGUAAAACUGGUAAUUGGGGC